This 425-nucleotide ribosomal RNA is filed under the name uncultured bacterium. Its description in RNAcentral is "partial 16S ribosomal RNA". It matches the Rfam family "Bacterial small subunit ribosomal RNA", at positions 354 to 796 of the family's 1533-position model. The record is from RNAcentral.
GUGGGGAAUCUUAGACAAUGGGGGAAACCCUGAUCUAGCCAUGCCGCGUGAGCGAUGAAGGCCUUAGGGUUGUAAAGCUCUUUCAGCUGGGAAGAUAAUGACGGUACCAGCAGAAGAAGCCCCGGCUAACUCCGUGCCAGCAGCCGCGGUAUUACGGAGGGGGCUAGCGUUGUUCGGAAUUACUGGGCGUAAAGCGCACGUAGGCGGAUCAGAAAGUCAGAGGUGAAAUCCCAGGGCUCAACCUUGGAACUGCCUUUGAAACUCCUGGUCUUGAGGUCGAGAGAGGUGAGUGGAAUUCCGAGUGUAGAGGUGAAAUUCGUAGAUAUUCGGAGGAACACCAGUGGCGAAGGCGGCUCACUGGCUCGAUACUGACGCUGAGGUGCGAAAGCGUGGGGAGCAAACAGGAUUAGAUACCCUAGUAGUCC